RNAcentral lists this ribosomal RNA (468 nucleotides) under uncultured bacterium. RNAcentral's name for it is "partial 16S ribosomal RNA". It matches the Rfam family "Bacterial small subunit ribosomal RNA", at positions 28 to 507 of the family's 1533-position model. The record is from RNAcentral.
GACGAACGCUGGCGGCGUGCUUAACACAUGCAAGUCGAACGGAAAGGCCCUGCUUUUGUGGGGUGCUCGAGUGGCGAACGGGUGAGUAACACGUGAGUAACCUGCCCUUGACUUUGGGAUAACUUCAGGAAACUGGGGCUAAUACCGGAUAGGAGCUCCUGCUGCAUGGUGGGGGUUGGAAAGUUUCGGCGGUUGGGGAUGGACUCGCGGCUUAUCAGCUUGUUGGUGGGGUAGUGGCUUACCAAGGCUUUGACGGGUAGCCGGCCUGAGAGGGUGACCGGCCUCAUUGGGACUGAGAGACGGCCCAGACUCCUACGGGAGGCAGCAGUGGGGAAUAUUGCACAAUGGGCGGAAGCCUGAUGCAGCAACGCCGCGUGCGGGAUGACGGCCUUCGGGUUGUAAACCGCUUUCGCCUGUGACGAAGCGUGAGUGACGGUAAUGGGUAAAGAAGCACCGGCUAACUACGUG